AGAGUUUGAUCCUGGCUCAGGAUGAACGCUAGCGACAGGCUUAACACAUGCAAGUCGAGGGGCAGCGGUUGUGUAGCAAUACAUAAGCCGGCGACCGGCGCACGGGUGAGUAACACGUAUGCAACCUGCCCGUCACAGGGGGAUAAUCGGAAGAAAUUCCGUCUUACACCGCAUAAAACCGAGAGGCGGCAUCGUUUUUCGGUCAAAGGAGCGAUCCGGUGACGGAUGGGCAUGCGUCGCAUUAGCUGGUUGGUGGUGUAACGGACUACCAAGGCGACGAUGCGUAGGGGUUCUGAGAGGAAGGUCCCCCACACUGGUACUGAGACACGGACCAGACUCCUACGGGAGGCAGCAGUGAGGAAUAUUGGUCAAUGGGCGGGAGCCUGAACCAGCCAAGUCGCGUGAGGGAAGAAAGUCCUAAGGAUCGUAAACCUCUUUUGUCGGGGAACAGUAGUCGGUAUGCAUACCGACAGGGAGUGUACCCGAAGAAAAAGCAUCGGCUAACUCCGUGCCAGCAGCCGCGGUAAUACGGAGGAUGCGAGCGUUAUCCGGAUUUAUUGGGUUUAAAGGGUGCGUAGGCGGAAAAUCAAGUCAGCGGUAAAACGUACGGGCUCAACCCGUAUUGGCCGUUGAAACUGAGUUUCUGGAGUGCGUUCGAGGUAUGCGGAAUGCGAGGUGUAGCGGUGAAAUGCAUAGAUAUCACGCAGAACUCCGAUUGCGAAGGCAGCAUACCGGGACUGGACUGACGCUGAAGCACGAAAGCGUGGGUAUCGAACAGGAUUAGAUACCCUGGUAGUCCACGCAGUAAACGAUGAAUACUAAUUGUUCGCUUGGAUAGACAAGUGAGUGAUACAGCGAAAGCGUUAAGUAUUCCACCUGGGGAGUACGCCGGCAACGGUGAAACUCAAAGGAAUUGACGGGGGCCCGCACAAGCGGAGGAACAUGUGGUUUAAUUCGAUGAUACGCGAGGAACCUUACCCGGGCUCAAACGCAGAAUGGAUACAGGUGAAAGUCUGUAGCCCCUCGGGGCAUACUGCGAGGUGCUGCAUGGUUGUCGUCAGCUCGUGCCGUGAGGUGUCGGCUUAAGUGCCAUAACGAGCGCAACCCUUACCGACAGUUGCUAGCAGGUAAAGCUGAGGACUCUGUCGGGACUGCCGGCGCAAGCUGCGAGGAAGGGAGGGAUGACGUCAAAUCAGCACGGCCCUUACGUCCGGGGCGACACACGUGUUACAAUGGCAGGUACAGCGGGAAGCCACUUUGCGAGGAGGCGCGGAACCCGAAAACCUGUCUCAGUUCGGAUUGGAGUCUGCAACCCGACUCCAUGAAGCUGGAUUCGCUAGUAAUCGCGCAUCAGCCACGGCGCGGUGAAUACGUUCCCGGGCCUUGCACUCACCGCCCGUCA
This 1402-nucleotide ribosomal RNA is filed under the name uncultured bacterium. Its description in RNAcentral is "16S ribosomal RNA". It matches the Rfam family "Bacterial small subunit ribosomal RNA". The record is from RNAcentral.